RNAcentral lists this long non-coding RNA (316 nucleotides) under Callithrix jacchus (white-tufted-ear marmoset). RNAcentral's name for it is "lncRNA (ENSCJAG00000086416.1)". Lineage: Eukaryota; Metazoa; Chordata; Mammalia; Primates; Cebidae. The record is from RNAcentral.
GACUUCACAAAAACUCACUUCACUUCUCUGUCAUCUAUCUCUCCAAUAUGAUUCCCUCCUCUUCUUAUCCUACUCUACUCUCAAAUCAAUGCUCCAAUAUUCUGCUACAUUAAAGAGGUGAUUAUUACAAAGUUAUGUACCAACUACAUUAAAAGGCAUCUCAGAUAUGCUCCACAUGGACUCAUUCAGAUACACUUGAAAAUAGAUUACACAAUGUUUGAGAUUUGGAUUGCUCAUUUUACUGAAGACUGUGGUCAGCGUCAGGUUAAAGAAAUAGUGUAGCCUAACUGCAUACAUAAGGGAAGAGACAGCUUGG